UACGAGGGGGGCGAGCGUUGUUCGGAAUUAUUGGGCGUAAAGGGCUCGUAGGCGGUCUGUCGCGUCGAAAGUGAAAACCCAGGGCUUAACCCUGGGCCUGCUUCCGAUACGGGCAGACUAGAGGUAUGCAGGGGAGAACGGAAUUCCUGGUGUAGCGGUGAAAUGCGCAGAUAUCAGGAGGAACACCGGUGGCGAAGGCGGUUCUCUGGGCAUUACCUGACGCUGAGGAGCGAAAGUGUGGGGAGCGAACAGG
Molecule: ribosomal RNA, 253 nt
Filed under: uncultured bacterium
Lineage: Bacteria
Description: partial 16S ribosomal RNA
Rfam family: Bacterial small subunit ribosomal RNA
Source: RNAcentral